UGAAUAUGGGUUCAUCUUAAAUCAGCAGAGACAGAGAGAUCCAGGAGUAUUGUUACAAAUGAUUGGAGAUGCAGCAGAAAAAGCACUUACACCAAGAGUAGUUAGAUAGUAGCCUUCAUUCUCCAUUGCCUGCCACCUCAUAUAAUCAUUCCUGCCUGUGCAAAGUGGGCAUAAAAUGUUACCAAACUAGAAUUAGUUGGUAACUAUUUAGCUCCUAAUUUACCUAGAUGUAAAUGACUAUACAAGGUGCAAAGAUGUGGAAAAUCAGGCCUAAGUCCUCAUUAUCAGUGACAUCUCUGGGAGUAUGAGCAGACUGAAGAUAACACUUAAAUGCUGCUGAGCUGGUGUAAUGCAAGGAAGGAAACAUCAUGAAAUGGGAAUAUUAUCCUUUUUUUGUCAUGGUAGCUGUACUCAGCCUGUCCAGGUCCCACCAGUUACUUUGUCAGAUUAUUCCAGAUGACAAAGGUUUGCAAAUCCUAUCAGUGGAAAUGUCACGCCUUGAAAGAGGACAAUUAUUAAAGAAAAAAAUCCCAGCACGUGCCUUGCCUUCUAGAGAUUGUCACAGUGUACACUGAGGACUUAAUAAAUAAAAUGA
Molecule: long non-coding RNA, 595 nt
Organism: Mauremys mutica (yellowpond turtle)
Lineage: Eukaryota; Metazoa; Chordata; Testudines; Geoemydidae
Exons: 3
Source: RefSeq, a predicted model, not a curated record